RNAcentral lists this ribosomal RNA (663 nucleotides) under uncultured Tomentella. RNAcentral describes it as "eukaryotic LSU rRNA". The stretch from base 274 to 428 matches the Rfam family "5.8S ribosomal RNA". The record is from RNAcentral. Lineage: Eukaryota; Fungi; Basidiomycota; Agaricomycetes; Thelephorales; Thelephoraceae.
UCUUGGUCAUUUAGAGGAAGUAAAAGUCGUAACAAGGUUUCCGUAGGUGAACCUGCGGAAGGAUCAUUACCGAAUCGUCAAACACGGGUUGUUGCUGGCUCCCCAAACGGGGGGCAUGUGCACGCUCUGUUUACGCAUCCACUCACACCUGUGCACCCUCUGUAGUUCUAUGGUUUGGGAGACAUCGUCUUCCUUCUGUGGCUCUACGUCUUUACACACACACCGUAGCGAUGUCUCAUGGAAUGUUUUUCUGCGUUUAACGCAAUACAAUACAACUUUCAGCAACGGAUCUCUUGGCUCUCGCAUCGAUGAAGAACGCAGCGAAAUGCGAUAAGUAAUGUGAAUUGCAGAAUUCAGUGAAUCAUCGAAUCUUUGAACGCACCUUGCGCCCCUUGGUUAUUCCUCGGGGCAUGCCUGUUUGAGUAUCAUGAACACCUCAACUCUCAUGGUCUUCCAUGAUGAGCUUGGACUUUGGGGGUUUGCUGGUCCUGUGGCCGGCUCCUCUCAAAUGAAUCAGCUUGCCAGUGUUUGGUGGCAUCACGGGUGUGAUAAUUAUCUACGCUCGCGGUCGUCUGCCAGGUAACCCUCAGCAAUGAAGGUUCAUUGGGGCUCAUAAACGUCUCUCCUCAGCGAGGACAACUUUUGAACGUUCGAUCUCAAAUC